This 200-nucleotide ribosomal RNA is filed under the name uncultured organism. RNAcentral's name for it is "partial small subunit ribosomal RNA". It matches the Rfam family "Bacterial small subunit ribosomal RNA", at positions 1182 to 1382 of the family's 1533-position model. The record is from RNAcentral.
ACGUCAAAUCAUCAUGCCCCUUAUGUCCUGGGCUACACACGUACUACAAUGGCUGCUACAAAGGGAAGCGAUACCGCGAGGUGGAGCAAAUCCCCAAAAGCAGUCCCAGUUCGGAUUGCAGGCUGAAACUCGCCUGCAUGAAGUCGGAAUUGCUAGUAAUGGCAGGUCAGCAUACUGCCGUGAAUACGUUCCCGGGCCUU